UUUUGAUGCAUCAUGUGGUGUUCAUUGCAAAUAUCCAUGUGAAUUGAGUAAAAAUGAUUGAAAGGAAUUUACAAGAACAGAUUGGACAUAGAGCUCGUGUAAAUUAAGAGGGAAAAAAUCCGUGAAACGAGAAAGUGUAGUUUGGGAAUAUUACUGUCAUCGUGUUGAUCAGGGUAUCGGCAAUUUUCCUUACUACUGACAUCAGUAUGGUCUAUGUCGGAAGUUUAGCUUCUAUGGUAAUCCACCAGAAUCCAAGAGUAAGCCCUCAGAGAGGAGUUGCAGUCCGAUUGUGUCAGCUUACUCAACUUGAAGAGGGAAGAUAAUGUACCGGCGCCACCGGUACAUUUGGACAGCUGUUUGAACAGCUUAAUAGAAUGAUCAAGAACUUGUUUGACUGAAGAGAUAGAAUGAAAAGGGAAGACCCAAAAGUGUUUUAUAACAGACACUGUGAGAGUACCGGAAUGCGCAAGAUGGUUUGCAUCAUGGUUAUGAAGGAAAAGCUGACAGUAUUUUUGAGACAGCAAGAAAAACAUCAUUGCACACCAUCAACUAAUGACUCCAAAGGAAUAACAAAGAUUAGAGUUCAAAGAAUGGAUUCAAUGCUGGUACUUGGAUAAAGAUAAUCAGGCAUGAACUCUCAUAUCCCAUGUAUCUUCAGCACCUUUAGGUUACAGUUUUAUAUUUCACUAGAAGAGACUCAUAAAUAAACAAAGGACAGUCAGUUACUACAAAAGAGAAGCAUCAGAGAUUAGUGAUAUUUUGUUCAGCAUUAUUGCAUCUUACAAAAUGUAAUCUAUUAAAAUUUUGUUUACAUCUAUCAAUUAAUGAUUUUGAUACAUGUACCAGUAAUAAAUAAUUUUGAUGUGGGGUAAACUGAUAAAAUUGAAUGGAAAACAAGCAGAUGACUUGGUAAUGAUGUGUAAAAGACAUCAUUCAUUUAAUUAAUACAUGUAAUUGCAUGCAGUUAAAAUUCAGUCAAAAUUCUUGUGGUGUAUAUUGAAAGGUGUAACCAAGAGGGAAACAUAAAAUGAUUUUCAUAUUAUCAUUAAAAUAAAAGUCAAGUUGUAUAUUAUACAAUUAUUUCUGUUUUUGAGGUCAUUACAAUGGUUUGGCUUGCCUAGGUGUAUGCAUUUACUGAUCCUAAAGAAGGAAGUAAAUAUUG
Molecule: long non-coding RNA, 1162 nt
Organism: Saccostrea echinata
Lineage: Eukaryota; Metazoa; Mollusca; Bivalvia; Ostreida; Ostreidae
Exons: 4
Source: RefSeq, a predicted model, not a curated record